UCCCCCGUUUUCAAAAACAUGUUUUUUAGGGUUUUUUAAAGGUUUUACCUGCUUUAUGAUAAUUUUAAAAGGCCCCGGUAUUUUAAAUGGGGUAAGGGAGCAUAAAAAUUUGUUUUUUAAUUAGGGUUUUGAAAGAAAGGUUGGGCGGGAAAAAAAAUUUUUUAAGAUUAAUUUUUUUUAAUUUAAAAUUUUUGUUAAAAAACUUAAAAAUUUAAGGGGGGCGGUAAGACCCCGUAGAUUUUUUUAAUUAAAUAAGAAGAAUUUUUUGGGUGGGUUUUUUUUUUUUUUAGUUUAUUGUUUUGUUGGGGUGAUAAAUAAAUUUUUUUGACUUUUUUUUUUGUAAACAUUAUUUUUUGGUUUUUUGAUCCUUUAUUUUGAUUAAAAGAAAAAGAUACCUCAGGGAUAACAGCGUUAUAUAUUUGGAAAGUUCUUAUUGAUAAAUGUGUUUGCGACCUCGAUGUUGAAUUAAAUUUUAAUUGUGGAGCAGGAUAUACAAUGAUAGGUCUU
Molecule: ribosomal RNA, 507 nt
Filed under: Oecleopsis sinicus
Lineage: Eukaryota; Metazoa; Arthropoda; Insecta; Hemiptera; Cixiidae
Description: partial 16S ribosomal RNA
Source: RNAcentral